UGGGGAAUUUUGGACAAUGGGCGAAAGCCUGAUCCAGCAAUGCCGCGUGUGUGAAGAAGGCCUUCGGGUUGUAAAGCACUUUUGUCCGGAAAGAAAUCCUUGGCUCUAAUACAGUCGGGGGAUGACGGUACCGGAAGAAUAAGCACCGGCUAACUACGUGCCAGCAGCCGCGGUAAUACGUAGGGUGCAGGCGUUAAUCGGAAUUACUGGGCGUAAAGCGUGCGCAGGCGGUUUGCUAAGACCGAUGUGAAAUCCCCGGGCUCAACCUGGGAACUGCAUUGGUGACUGGCAGGCUAGAGUAUGGCAGAGGGGGGUAGAAUUCCACGUGUAGCAGUGAAAUGCGUAGAGAUGUGGAGGAAUACCGAUGGCGAAGGCAGCCCCCUGGGCCAAUACUGACGCUCAUGCACGAAAGCGUGGGGAGCAAACAGGAUUAGAUACCCUGGUAGUCCACGCCCUAAACGAUGUCAACUAGUUGUUGGGGAUUCAUUCCUUAGUAACGUAGCUAACGCGUGAAGUUGACCGCCUGGGGAGUACGGUCGCAAGAUUAAAACUUAAAUGAAUUGACGGGGUCAUAGCUGUUUCCU
This 584-nucleotide ribosomal RNA is filed under the name uncultured bacterium. RNAcentral describes it as "partial 16S ribosomal RNA". It matches the Rfam family "Bacterial small subunit ribosomal RNA", at positions 355 to 1375 of the family's 1533-position model. The record is from RNAcentral.